AUCCACAGACAAUUGUUGUCUUGUUUUGCUCCUCUUUAGAAGGUGGUUUAUAGAACUAUAAUACUCUAACAGGUGCUCUUGAAUGCAGGUUUCUGAUAACUUUGAAGAUUGUGACAUCAGAAUAGAGGAAAAACUUUGAAAACUCAUGGAGAGCUGAAAUGUUCAUGAAUAUCAAGCAGAGCAGGAAUUAGCUGCAUGAACUGAACUAAUAGAAGACUGAAGAAUCAAACUUGACUUAUGGAGACAAUAAAAGCCCCUUGGGAAAACUGGCCUCAUACUUUGUCUCCGCAGUGCCUGUACAGGGUUCCUGAUCUGUGUAAAUGCUUCCUGAGCCCUCACCAAAACUAAAGGCUGGUGCCAUGAUUUUCGUACAGUCUGCAAAAUGGUAAGUCAAAACAACUUUCGGCAUAUUUUAUCUGGCCUCGGGUACUUUAUAGCAGCGCACAAUGGACUAAUAUGGAAAAUUGUUACCGGGAGUGGGACAUUGCUAAAAAUGUCUGAAAAUGUGGUAGUGGCUUUAGAACUGGAUAAUUAGCACAGUUUGGAAGUGUCGGGAGGGUUCAGAAGAAAAUGGGAAGAUAAGGGAUAGUCUGGAACUUGUUAGGCAUUGGUUAAGUGAUUCUGACCAAAAUGCUGAUUAAAAAUAUGGCCAACUAAGUUUAGGCUAAUGAGGUCUAAGAUCAAAAUGAGAAACUUAUUAAAAACUGGAACAAAGAUCACCCUUGUUAUACCUUACGAAAGAACUUGACUGCAUCGUGUCCAUUCCAGGACUUUGUGGAAGUCUGAACUUAGUGAUGACUAAGGGUAUCUGGUGGAAGAAAUUUCUAAGCAGGAAAACAUUCAAGAGAUAGUGUGACUGCUUCUAACAGCCUAUGAUCAGGUAUGGGUGCAAAGGAAUGACCUAACGUUGGAACUUAAAGCUUCCUGAAGCCUCUCCAGAAUGAGAUGCUGGUGCUACGCUUUUUGUACAGCCUGCAAAUUGUGAGCCAAAUAUAGUUCUUUUCUGUAUAAAUUGCCCAGCGUCAAGUAUUUUUUUUUUACAGCAGCACAAAACAGACUAAUACAGAUGGAUAUUGUUGGAUUUCUAUAUAUUUUCCCCCAUGACACAAACACCUCCCACCAGACCCCACUUCCAUCACUGGCGAUCACAUUUUAACAUGAGAUUAGAAGGAGACAAAUAUCCAAAUUGUAUCACCAUCAAACUGUCUAAAUUAUAAGUUUCAAAAUUUUUCUCCAGAUUCUUCUGAAUCUUAUAAGUACAUGAACCAGUCAUGUACACACAAGGUUAACUUUAUUUCAUCUCUAGUAUCUGUUGAGAUCCUCUUUGUCUGCAGCAUUAUACAGUUUCACAUCAGAUGUAGAAAUACUGAAAUCCAAAUUUAUUCAUCUGUAUUUCCAUCUUUGACAAACAGC
This is a long non-coding RNA of Gorilla gorilla gorilla (western lowland gorilla), 1413 nucleotides long. RefSeq lists it as uncharacterized. The transcript has 3 exons. NCBI's taxonomy places the organism in Eukaryota, Metazoa, Chordata, Mammalia, Primates, Hominidae. The record is from RefSeq and is a predicted model, not a curated record.